RNAcentral lists this ribosomal RNA (492 nucleotides) under uncultured bacterium. RNAcentral describes it as "partial 16S ribosomal RNA". It matches the Rfam family "Bacterial small subunit ribosomal RNA", at positions 29 to 507 of the family's 1533-position model. The record is from RNAcentral.
AGUGAACGCUGGCGGUAGGCCUAACACAUGCAAGUCGAACGGCAGCACAGUAAGAGCUUGCUCUUACGGGUGGCGAGUGGCGGACGGGUGAGGAAUACAUCGGAAUCUACUUUUUCGUGGGGGAUAACGUAGGGAAACUUACGCUAAUACCGCAUACGACAUACGGGUGAAAGUAGGGGAUCUUCGGACCUUGCGCGAUUGAAUGAGCCGAUGUCGGAUUAGCUAGUUGGCGGGGUAAAGGCCCACCAAGAGGACGAUCCGUAGCUGGUCUGAGAGGAUGAUCAGCCACACGGGAACUGAGACACGGUCCAGACUCCUACGGGAGGCAGCAGUGGGGAAUAUUGGACAAGGGGCGCAAGCCUGAUCCAGCCAUACCGCGUGGGUGAAGAAGGCCUUCGGGUUGUAAAGCCCUUUUGUUGGGAAAGAAAAGCAGCAGGUUAAUACCCCGCUGUUCUGACGGUACCCAAAGAAUAAGCACCGGCUAACUUCGUG